RNAcentral lists this ribosomal RNA (468 nucleotides) under uncultured bacterium. RNAcentral describes it as "partial 16S ribosomal RNA". It matches the Rfam family "Bacterial small subunit ribosomal RNA", at positions 28 to 507 of the family's 1533-position model. The record is from RNAcentral.
GACGAACGCUGGCGGCGUGCUUAACACAUGCAAGUCGAACGGAAAGGCCCUGCUUUUGUGGGGUGCUCGAGUGGCGAACGGGUGAGUAACACGUGAGUAACCUGCCCUUGACUUUGGGAUAACUUCAGGAAACUGGGGCUAAUACCGGAUAGGAGCUCCUGCUGCAUGGUGGGGGUUGGAAAUUUUGGGCGGGUGGGGUUGGAUUCGCGGCUGAUCGGCUUGUUGGUGGGGUAGGGGCUUACCAAGGCUUUGACGGGUAGCCGGCCUGAGAGGGUGACCGGCCACAUUGGGACUGAGAUACGGACCAGACUCCUACGGGAGGCAGCAGUGGGGAAUAUUGCACAAUGGGCGGAAGCCUGAUGCAGCAACGCCGCGUGCGGGAUGACGGCCUUCGGGUUGUAAACCGCUUUCGCCUGUGACGAAGCGUGAGUGACGGUAAUGGGUAAAGAAGCACCGGCUAACUACGUG